GAUCGGCUCUCAUGAGUUUGUACAAGCUAGCACCACUGGCCUUAUGCCUUCCAGCUCAGAUCAGUGAUUUUCUAAUGCCAGUGGGGGUGGGAGCAGGGGAGACAUGCCAAUCUGCCAUGCUUUUAAAAUACAGGAUGCAGGGGUUGUGGCCGAGUGGUUAAAGUUCCACGUGCUCCUCUUCAGUGGCCUGGGGUUUGUGGGUUCAGAUCCCAGAUGCGGACCAGCUCCACUCAUCACCCACAUACAAAGUAGAGGAAGACUGGCAACGGAUGUUAACGCAGGGCUAAUCUUCCUCAAGCAAAAAAAGAGGCGGGUUGGCAAUGGCCAUUAGCUCAGGGCAAAUCUUCCUCACAGAAAAAAUGAUAAUAAAUAAACUCUUUUUAAAAAAUAAUAAAAGUAAAAAGUAAAAUACAGAAUCCAGGAUCCCACCCCUGGCGAUAAAUCUGAGGUGAGACUUGGAACUACAAUUCAAAACAAAACCAUGCCUCCCCAGGUGAUCAUGAUGUGUGACCAGAUGUGGGAACCAUUCCUCUGGCAAGAGUGCUUAUAGCCCAAGCCAGCUCACCAGGAUCCACCAGGUCAGGGUUGGAGGCAGGAGUCCCACUAACAAUAAUUCUUCACCUGGCCUCGUUCUCUGCUCUUAUGUUGUGUCUCUCGGGAACCUCAUGGGGUAGAGGGUAGAAUGGGGGCUGAGGCAAAAGGGUUCCUGUGUUUGAGAUCUUGGGACCAGCUUCUUUUUCUACCGCUGUUAGCAUGGGCUGUCUUGGGUAGUGUCACUACUAUCCUAUGGAAGUAGAAACCAAGCCAGUCUCUCGGUUCCUAACCAGAAAUUAGACUCGUAGAAACCACUGAAAAAGCAGAACUGGAUAUGAAAGGCUGUGGGCUGCUUAGUUGGAAGCAUGAGCUCUUUUCUGGGGUUGGCUCCUGACUCAUGGGGAAGUUUUUGGUCUCAGUGGCCCACAUUUUCAGAUGUCUUUGUCUAGAAAAGCUUAACAGCAAAGCGUGCUGGGUUCUUGUGUUCGUGUGGAGCUUGCUCAACAAAUGAAAAAGAAUGGGACCUCCAUCAUGUUUUGAAAUUAAUUCACGAAAACCUGCAAUUAGAACACAUGCAGUAGGGAAUGAUGUUGUUUUUUUCAAAAGAGCUUUUGCUUUAUCAGAAGAUCCACAGAAAAUACCCUUCAGAUAGUUUUAAGUGGUGCUUACAAAAUCCUCAUUUAUGUACAUGUUUGUAGAAAUACACCUGUCGCAUUAAACAUACUGAACCUGCGUUCGUCAUGCAGUAUCCAGCCCUGUCUCCUUAUGGCUGUAUUAGGAAAUGUGACCCAAUGGGAGGAACCGAGGGCGUUACAGACUAGCAUAGUGGUGUGUCUGGGGACAGCAGCGGCACACAAACCUUUUUAUUCUUUGCUAGGCUGAGACUCACUUGCAGGCAGCGUGACUGAGCCGGCAAUCUUGAAACUGCUUUUGUCCCUGCAAUGCAUCCUGGCCAGUGACAUUAAUGAAAACUGAGGAACCUCAGCUGGAGUGAAAGUUUAAACUUUUCUUUUAAAUUCUUGAAAAAUCCAUCAAGAACAUAUAUAUGAGGGAAAAAAUUAUGGGUUGUGGAGCAGGGAGGCCGGUGUGCAUGAAAUCAGAUAAACCUAAACUUCCAUACGCUCAUAAAAUUCUGUUAUUUAUUAAUUAGCUUUAUCCACAAUUCCUCCUGGAAAAUUUAAAAAGCCAGUGUCCAGAGAAGAAAGUGAAAAGAAUUGUUGAGGGACCAUCAGGAGUCAGGUUGUUUCCCUGAGCAGUUUCGGGUCCUCGGUGAGCCUGUGCUUGGAUGGACCAUGUGUAUGCUUGAUUCCUAUGGAAGACAUAAUUUGCAACAGAAGACUUGGAAUCGUAGUAUCCUGCUUACAAAAUUAUUGAAGAAAAAAGAAGACUUCUAAUUAAUUCCAAAAGCUAAACUACUCUCCAGAUAGGUACCAUUUCAAGCAGUUGACCCAGUGUGAUUCUCAGCCCUGGGGACAUAACAGCCUCACCUGUGUGGAACAUUAACCCCUCCCACCCUCAUCCCUAUCCACCUCCACCACUCCCAGUCCCAGAGUUUCUAGUAUGCCUUGAGUGGGGGCCUUGGGAUGGAUGGAUGGAUAGAUGGAUAGAUAGACAGACAGACAGAUAGAUAGACUUCUUUUUAACACAGGUGAGUUUGAGGCUCAACCAUGGUUGAGAACCACUGAGUUAAACAAUGUGAUCUUUUAAAGGCAAUUUCCUUUAAUGACAAAUAAUAGAUAAACCUAAGGAUAGGAAGAGAUGGAGAUGCUCAAAGAAAUAAAGUCAAUUAAUGUCAUGGUCGUGAGGAGCUUGCUUCAUGGUUAUAACCAACUGCUCCCUUAUCUCAUGGGCUAAUUUGACUUCACAUAAAGGUGAGUGCUAUAAAACUCUCUAAAAGUCCAUCAUUCUUUUGAAAUCAGAAGCAUGGGAACAAGUUAC
Molecule: long non-coding RNA, 2472 nt
Organism: Equus asinus (donkey)
Lineage: Eukaryota; Metazoa; Chordata; Mammalia; Perissodactyla; Equidae
Source: Ensembl